This 479-nucleotide ribosomal RNA is filed under the name uncultured bacterium. RNAcentral's name for it is "partial 16S ribosomal RNA". It matches the Rfam family "Bacterial small subunit ribosomal RNA", at positions 28 to 507 of the family's 1533-position model. The record is from RNAcentral.
GAUGAACGCUGGCGGCGUGCUUAACACAUGCAAGUCGAGCGAGAAGUUUUGAAAAGAUUCUUCAGAUGAAAUUUAAAAUGGAAAGCGGCGGACGGGUGAGUAACGCGUAGGCAACCUGCCCCAUACAAAGGGAUAGCAUUUGGAAACGAAUAUUAAUACCUUAUGAAACUUAACUAGUGCAUGCUAGGUAGGUCAAAGAUUUAUCGGUAUGGGAUGGGCCUGCGUCUGAUUAGCUAGUUGGUGAGGUAACGGCUCACCAAGGCGACGAUCAGUAGCCGACCUGCGAGGGUGAACGGCCACAUUGGAACUGAGACACGGUCCAAACUCCUACGGGAGGCAGCAGUGGGGAAUAUUGCACAAUGGGGGAAACCCUGAUGCAGCAACGCCGCGUGAACGAUGAAGGCCUUUGGGUCGUAAAGUUCUGUUCUAGGUGAUGAAAACUGACAGUAACCUAGGAGAAAGCCCCGGCUAACUCCGUG